The sequence is a transfer RNA, 93 nucleotides long. It matches the Rfam family "tRNA". From Rfam's summary of the family: Transfer RNA (tRNA) molecules are approximately 80 nucleotides in length. Their secondary structure includes four short double-helical elements and three loops (D, anti-codon, and T loops).
GGUGAGGUGGCCGAGAGGCUUAAGGCGCUCCCCUGCUAAGGGAGUAUGUAGCUCUAUAAAAGCUGCUCGAGGGUUCGAAUCCCUCCCUCACCG